AACGCACGAGACCUGCGGACCUGCGGAGGGAUCAUUAGUGAACGCCCUCACGGGCUUAUAACUAUUCCAAACCUCUGUGAACCGUGCCCUUCGGGGCUAUUUUACAAACAUGGUGUAAUGAGCGUCAUAUAUCAUAACAAAACAAAACUUUCAACAACGGAUCUCU
Molecule: unclassified non-coding RNA, 166 nt
Filed under: soil metagenome
Description: partial contains 5.8S ribosomal RNA, internal transcribed spacer 2, and large subunit ribosomal RNA
Source: RNAcentral